GAUGAACGCUGGCGGCGUGCCUAAUACAUGCAGGUCGAGCGAACAGACGAGGAGCUUGCUCCUCUGACGUUAGCGGCGGACGGGUGAGUAACACGUGGAUGACCUACCUAUAAGACUGGGAUAACUUCGGGAAACCGGAGCUAAUACCGGAUAAUAUAUUGAACCGCAUGGUUCAAUAGUGAAAGACGGUUUUGCUGUCACUUAUAGAUGGAUCCGCGCCGCAUUAGCUAGUUGGUAAGGUAACGGCUUACCAAGGCAACGAUGCGUAGCCGACCUGAGAGGGUGAUCGGCCACACUGGAACUGAGACACGGUCCAGACUCCUACGGGAGGCAGCAGUAGGGAAUCUUCCGCAAUGGGCGAAAGCCUGACGGAGCAACGCCGCGUGAGUGAUGAAGGUCUUCGGAUCGUAAAACUCUGUUAUUAGGGAAGAACAAAUGUGUAAGUAACUAUGCACGUCUUGACGGUACCUAAUCAGAAAGCCACGGCUAACUACGUG
This 497-nucleotide ribosomal RNA is filed under the name uncultured bacterium. Its description in RNAcentral is "partial 16S ribosomal RNA". It matches the Rfam family "Bacterial small subunit ribosomal RNA", at positions 28 to 507 of the family's 1533-position model. The record is from RNAcentral.